GGAGAAAUAGCUCAGCAGUUAAGAGCACUGGCUGUUUUUCCAGAGGACCUGGGUUCGAUUCCCAGUACCCACA
Molecule: transfer RNA, 73 nt
Filed under: Mesocricetus auratus (golden hamster)
Lineage: Eukaryota; Metazoa; Chordata; Mammalia; Rodentia; Cricetidae
Rfam family: tRNA
About the family: Transfer RNA (tRNA) molecules are approximately 80 nucleotides in length. Their secondary structure includes four short double-helical elements and three loops (D, anti-codon, and T loops). Further hydrogen bonds mediate the characteristic L-shaped molecular structure. tRNAs have two regions of fundamental functional importance: the anti-codon, which is responsible for specific mRNA codon recognition, and the 3' end, to which the tRNAs corresponding amino acid is attached (by aminoacyl-tRNA synthetases). tRNAs cope with the degeneracy of the genetic code in two manners: having more than one tRNA (with a specific anti-codon) for a particular amino acid; and 'wobble' base-pairing, i.e. permitting non-standard base-pairing at the 3rd anti-codon position.
Source: Rfam by way of RNAcentral